RNAcentral lists this ribosomal RNA (1495 nucleotides) under uncultured prokaryote. Its description in RNAcentral is "partial 16S ribosomal RNA". It matches the Rfam family "Bacterial small subunit ribosomal RNA". The record is from RNAcentral.
GAGUUUGAUCAUGGCUCAGAUUGAACGCUGGCGGCAGGCCUAACACAUGCAAGUCGAGCGAGAAAGCACUUCGGUGUGAGUACAGCGGCGGACGGGUGAGUAACGCGUAGGAAUCUACCCAGUAGUGGGGGACAACAUGGGGAAACCCAUGCUAAUACCGCAUACGCCCUACGGGGGAAAGCGGGGGAUCUUCGGACCUCGCGCUAUUGGAUGAGCCUGCGUUAGAUUAGCUAGUUGGUGGGGUAAAGGCCUACCAAGGCGACGAUCUAUAGCUGGUCUGAGAGGAUGAUCAGCCACACUGGAACUGAGACACGGUCCAGACUCCUACGGGAGGCAGCAGUGGGGAAUAUUGCGCAAUGGGGGAAACCCUGACGCAGCCAUGCCGCGUGUGUGAAGAAGGCUCUCGGGUUGUAAAGCACUUUCAGCAGGGAGGAAAGGGAGUCGGUUAAUAAGUAACAGCUGUGACGUUACCUUUAGAAGAAGCACCGGCUAACUCCGUGCCAGCAGCCGCGGUAAUACGGAUGGUGCAAGCGUUAAUCGGAAUUACUGGGCGUAAAGCGCGCGUAGGCGGUUUGCUAAGUCGGAUGUGAAAUCCCCGAGCUCAACUUGGGAACUGCGUUUGAAACUACAAGACUAGAAUAUGUCAGAGGGGGGUAGAAUUCCACGUGUAGCAGUGAAAUGCGUAGAGAUGUGGAGGAAUAUCAAUGGCGAAGGCAGCCCCCUGGGAUAAUAUUGACGCUCAUGCACGAAAGCGUGGGGAGCAAACAGGAUUAGAUACCCUGGUAGUCCACGCCCUAAACGAUGUCAACUAGUUGUUGGUAGAGUAAAAUCUAUGAGUAACGCAGCUAACGCGUGAAGUUGACCGCCUGGGGAGUACGAUCGCAAGAUUAAAACUCAAAGGAAUUGACGGGGACCCGCACAAGCGGUGGAUUAUGUGGAUUAAUUCGAUGCAACGCGAAAAACCUUACCUACCCUUGACAUGUAUCGAAGCCCGCGGAGAUGUGGGUGUGCCCGAAAGGGAACGAUAACACAGGUGCUGCAUGGCUGUCGUCAGCUCGUGACGUGAGAUGUUGGGUUAAGUCCCGCAACGAGCGCAACCCUUGUCAUUAAUUGCCAUCAUUUAGUUGGGCACUUUAAUGAGACUGCCGGUGAUAAACCGGAGGAAGGUGGGGAUGACGUCAAGUCCUCAUGGCCCUUAUGGGUAGGGCUUCACACGUAAUACAAUGGCGCGUACAGAGGGUUGCCAACCCGUAAGGGGGAGCUAAUCUCAGAAAGCGCGUCGUAGUCCGGAUUGUACUCUGCAACUCGAGUGCAUGAAGUCGGAAUCGCUAGUAAUCGCGGAUCAGAAUGUCGCGGUGAAUACGUUCCCGGGUAUUGUACACCCCGCCCGUCACACCAUGGGAGUGGACUCUGCCAGAAGUAGGUAGCCUAACCGCAAGGGGGACGCUUACCACGGUGGGUUUCAUGACUGGGGUGAAGUCGUAACAAGGUAACC